UAAAUAAAUAAAAAAAUAGUAUUUGAUGUUCGUUCAAUGAAAAGCAGAAAUUCUUCUCUCAUAUCAUAGGGAUGUUUGUAUCGCAUGCACAGCGAACGCAAAAUAACUGCGAGCUUCAAAUACGUCACUAAAAGAAGGGGAAAUAAGAUGGAAAGAGCAAGACAGCAAUGAGUCUGUCUGCGCAUGUUCAUUUUGACACAAUCAGUUGCACUUUUCAUUAAUGACUUUACAUUACACCAUAUUUUGUGAAAAUCUAAAUAUAAUUUCUUUGUAAUGGUCGUCCAAGCUCGCAGCCACUGAACGCCAAAAAAAUUUGCCAUAUUUGCAGUGAGCAGUAACUUGAUGCUUCGAUUUCCUGCAAUACUGUUCCUCCACACUGUGAGUGAUUGUACUCUUUGACGAAUUGUUUUAUUGUUUGUCGACAACUUAAAAGAGGCAACUUUCAUCGCCAAUAGUUGUAGCACUUCAUAUUAGUCUCUGUUGAACUUUGAAUUCAUUCUGUUGACCCUUGAAAUAUUCUUUCCGCUUACCUGUAACUAUCCCCUUUCAUAUUCGGGUUGCCUGGUAUGAAGGAAAGAUCUUAAAGCUUACCGAUGGGUAAGGAUAUGAAACGACAUUAUUUCAGGUACCAACUUAUAAGCUCCAAAAGGUCAAGGUCAAGUCAAGGCUCAGCAGACACAUUCAGAUCGCAAUGGCCGUACAUCGAAAAUAUGAAGUUUCUUGAGGGAAGUAUUUCCCUUCGGUCAUCAGUGGGAAAUGAUCUGCCCCCACCUCUACAGAAACCCAAGGAAGAAGAGAAUUCUCAGAUGGAUGAUUCACCCAGUACAGAAGACACAAGCCACAACGACACUGCUCCGUCAGCUUCACACUUCCCAACAACACCAGCAUCCAUAAAGCCAAACAAGAGGAAGAUAUGUACUGAGAAAAAUCAACUGAUUGCUAGGGCCAUGGAAAUAUUUGAUUCACCUCGGGACCUCCAAAAAUUUGGUGAUUUUGUUGUGGCAGAACUGUGCGCACUGCGCAACCCAUUGCUAAUGCGGCGAGCAAAGCGCAGUAUCAUGCGCAUAUUACUAGAUACGUCAGCAGCAGACGAUGGGUUAUCCGCGCCCUGAGCAUCACCAGGUUCGUCCUUUUCUCCUGCCGCAUUGCCACUGGCUUCAGGAACACCAUCAUCAAGUCAAGACAUCUGAAUAUCUAGCUGCAAGCAGGCCAUGAACAUGACCAAGUUUCAUCCUACCAGAGAAACCAAAGUCGACUGUGUUAACCCUUACAGAUGAAUCCAACGUAACCUUAUAUAUCACCGACUAUGACCAUGACAGUCAAUUGUGAGCUAGUGCACACCUUAUAAGGUAAAAUGAAGAGUAGUGGUUACAAACUCAAUCUCUAACCCAUAAUCUUUGGUUGUCACCAUUCUCAAAUUCUUCAGUUAACUCAAGGUUCUGUUUUAAUGUCAAUACAAUUUUCUCAAUAUUUCCAGCCAUCCUACAUAAGACCCACAAGUGUUAAUUAUAAUUUUCACCCAGAACUGAUGUACAAUUAGGAAAGGGUAGUUCAUGAAGGAGUCAUUCCAAGUGAAUGACUUACGCAGCUCCUGGAGCUGUGAACAAUGUAGCAGAUGCCUCACUCCCUGCCAACAGGAGUCAUCAAUGAAAAAAACAACUCCAGCUUACUCAAAAGUUGCACUGUACAUAAUCUGCUCCAUACCAGAUGUACACUAUAUAACUCAAGUGAAACACAUUUACUGUUUUCCCAACAAUUUAUUUUCCUAACUACUAAUACAAUGUUUAAGUCACCCACUCACUCUAGGGUGCAGGAUAUUCUUGGAAAAGUCAAUUGUAUACUCAGCUUGUCAAUGAAUAACCCACUUUCUUUAUGGAAUGCAAAGGUUUAUCACCAUGUUCACAAAAGCCUGCCACCAGACUCUACCCUGAGCUAGCUGCAUCCAGUUCAC
Zootermopsis nevadensis is the source of this 1951-nucleotide non-coding RNA. NCBI's taxonomy places the organism in Eukaryota, Metazoa, Arthropoda, Insecta, Blattodea, Termopsidae. The record is from RefSeq and is a predicted model, not a curated record.